RNAcentral lists this ribosomal RNA (508 nucleotides) under uncultured Bacteroidota bacterium. RNAcentral's name for it is "bacterial SSU rRNA". It matches the Rfam family "Bacterial small subunit ribosomal RNA", at positions 8 to 509 of the family's 1533-position model. The record is from RNAcentral. Lineage: Bacteria; Pseudomonadati; Bacteroidota.
AGGCUUUGAUCCUGGCUCAGGAUGAACGCUAGCGGCAGGCCUAACACAUGCAAGUCGAACGGGAUUCUAGACUUCGGUUUAGAUGAGAGUGGCGCACGGGUGCGUAACGCGUAUGCAACUUACCCUUAACAGGGGGAUAGCCCGGAGAAAUUCGGAUUAAUACCCCGUAGUAUUAUUGGAAGGCAUCUUUUGAUAAUUAGAGCUGAGGCGGUUAAGGAUGGGCAUGCGUCCUAUUAGCUAGUUGGCGAGGUAACGGCUCAUCUCAAGGCGACGAUAGGUAGGGGGCCUGAGAGGGUGAUCCCCCACACUGGUACUGAGACACGGACCAGACUCCUACGGGAGGCAGCAGUGAGGAAUAUUGGUCAAUGGGCGCGAGCCUGAACCAGCCAUGCCGCGUGCAGGAUGACGGCCCUAUGGGUUGUAAACUGCUUUUGUACGGGAAUAAACCCUCGCUCGUGAGACGAAGGCUGAAGGUACCGUAAGAAUAAGGAUCGGCGUACAAUCGGAU